Gadus macrocephalus (Pacific cod) is the source of this 1977-nucleotide long non-coding RNA. RefSeq lists it as uncharacterized. The transcript is spliced from 3 exons. The record is from RefSeq and is a predicted model, not a curated record. NCBI's taxonomy places the organism in Eukaryota, Metazoa, Chordata, Actinopteri, Gadiformes, Gadidae.
CAGAGAAGGUAUAUAAAUCUACAGCUGAUGUGAUUAAAGUUCUGCAGUUCAGAUCCGCUGAUGAAUGGUCCCAUACCGUAUCCACAGCGUCCUCAUGGUGCAGGCGGUCAAACCUCCACCUCUUUGAAGAGACCAAGCAGCUUAAUGACUGACUGUUCUUUAUACUCCGGACCUCGUCCCGGAGUUGAGGACAGACCUAAGGCCCGCAGCGCAGCCGACUAGAGACUCUCUGUGGAACCGGUUCAAUAAAGUUGACCUCUCCUUCAGGCGACUUAAAGGGAGACCAGAUGUGCGGCAGCUGGGUGUCAUGGUGCAGAGACCCAACGCUGUACUGAACUACACCAGUGUGUCCUACUCCCCAUAAACCCUGAGGAUCCCUGGAUGGCUACACCAGCACAUUAAUCCACACCCAACAUUAACACACAGUGCACACUCUAUAGAGCUUGUGGGUCCGCCCCUUGCGGCGGGACCUCGUGAGAUCGUAAAAUAUGACUGGGUUUUAAUGGAGAGAAAGUAAUUAUUUUCUCCCAUUUUAUGUUGCACCACAUUUUGGGGGAAGAAUGUUUGAUCAAUCUUUGUCAUUUUUUUCUGUACUCCAUAUCUGUAAUCCCAGCUGUUGUAUUUUAACACGGUAGCUGGGAACCCUCUUUAUAGGGAGCGACUAGAGGGACGAGGCUGGAAGCAAACCUGAGCCUGGAUCUUAACCUUCUUUCUAAACCUAAUGCCGCAAUUUAACUGCAAAUAAAGUGAGGCCUAAAGUAACUUGACUCUCUUACCUAAACUUGCUUGCCUAAACUCGCUUGUCUAAACUCGCUUGCAUAAAACCUAAACUCGCUUGCAUAAAACCUGAACUUGCUUGGCUAAACUUGCGUCGCUUGCCUAAUACCCGAACUUGCUUGCCUAAACUCGCUUGCCUAAUACCUGAACUCGCUUGCCUAAACUCGCUUGCCUAAUACCUGAACUCGCUUGCCUAAACUCGCUUGCCUAAUACCUGAACUCGCUUGCCUAAACUCGCUUGCCUAAUACCUGAACUCGCUUGCCUAAACUCGCUUGCCUAAACUCGCUUGCCUAAACUCGCUUGCCUAAUACCUGAACUUGCUUGCAUAAAACCUAAACUUGCUUGCAUAAAACCUAAACUUGCUUGCAUAAAACCUAAACUCGCUUGCAUAAAACCUAAACUCGCUUGCAUAAAACCUAAACUCGCUUAGCUUGACUCGCUUGCCUGUACUCGCUUGGCUAAACUCGCUUGCCUAAUACCUGAAGUCGCUUGCCUGAAGUCGCAUGCCUAAUACCUGAAGUCGCUUGCCUAAAACCUAAACUUGCUUGUCUAAACACGUUACACAAAGUUAACCAUCCAUAAUCUUUAACCCAAACCAGACUUGUCCCUGGGUCGCUCCACUUUAAUUUAGAAGUUUCUUCUUUUACCUCAUCUGCGUUUUGAGUUUCAUUCUUUGAGGGCUUGAAGUGCUUUGGAGGAUAUUUGAACCUUUGUUUGCCGCAUCAAUAAACAUGCUUUAUCUUUACCCAUUUUGUUUUGGAUUGCAUUUCUAUGUGUAAUCCGGCCAAAUGUUCAGUGUCCUUACAUGUAAUGUCUAUGGUCUGAUGAUAAUCUGACCUCUUCAAGAGACGGCCUGCCAACGUCUCUUUAGCAAAAGGUUGGAGAGUGAAAUUCAUUUUUGUGCCAUUUUCAUGUGUUCCUGAGUAUUUCAGACCUGUGGUAUUUCACAUGAGACCUUAAUGGGAACUUAUUUUUCUGCCUGCAUACGUAAUGCCUACAUUAGUAGGGUGAUCACUGUUGAUCCCAAUAUUGAUCAUUAACCACCUCAUUCUUUUAUGAUUUUUUUUUUAUAAGGAUUACAAAUCAUGUAAUUUAUGAGCAUAUUUGCAAAUGGCUCCAAAUAUCAGAGUGUGUAAAAACUAAUGAAAUGUAACCUGCUUGAUUUAAAGAAAAUAAAACAUCCAAAUAUUAUAAACCUG